RNAcentral lists this long non-coding RNA (7747 nucleotides) under Triticum aestivum (bread wheat). RNAcentral describes it as "long non-coding RNA (TAES_LNC009355)". Lineage: Eukaryota; Viridiplantae; Streptophyta; Magnoliopsida; Poales; Poaceae. The record is from RNAcentral.
UCAAAUCUCGCCGUUGUCUGGACUCAGCUGCACUUCUCCGUCUGUCUGCCUUCACCACCAUGGGUAACACAUUCAGGGAGCCAUCGUCGCUCCUGCUGCUUCCUCUGGAUUGUCCUUGUUUGGCGAUGCCCCACCUAUGUAUGUUCCCCAAUCUAAUCUAUUUGCUUUCCUGUUUUUUCUCCUCUGGGUUUGUAAUUGUAGUAGCAAGAUCAGGGGCUGGGGAGAAGAAGCCUCGCUGUCCGUCCCUAUAGGGUGACGGUUGGCGUGUCUCUGGCGACUGCAAGGGCGACCGCGAUCUGGCGUGGUGGAAACCUAGGUUUUCUCGAUCCGCCGCCGCCGUCCCGUCUCUGGUCUUGUGAAGUCCGUCGCCGUCACGUCCCAUCCACAAAGGCCUUCCACGCGCCUCCCUAGGGCGCGUGGUCGUAAAACACCUAAACCAUAGGAGGAGGAGGGGGAGGUAUGGAGGGGGUCGCUGGUUUGUUGAAGGGGCUGAAGCUCUCCGAUGAGGAGAAGAAGGGGGUGCGGAUCAGGAUUCCGACCAAGGAGAAAGGCAAGGAGGGGGUGGCUCAGGCGGUCGGGAAGGUGAUGUCAGAGAAGCUAGCACAUCCGGAUGCGAUCUGCCUCACGCUGGGAAAGAUCUGGUGCCCGAUCAAAGGUAUAGGGUGCACGGAGAUUGGGGUCAACCAGUUUUUGUUCACGUUUCACCAAGAGACGGGGAAGAGGAAGGCUCUGGAAAACGGCCCAUGGAUGUUCAAUAAAGAACUGGUGGUUGUGGAGGACUAUGUGCCCAGUAAGAGACCGGAGGACUAUCAAUUCAAUAAUAUCCCGAUCUGGAUCAGGGUCUACGACCUGCCCUUGGGUAUGAUGAACGAGGAAGCUGCUGAGGAGAUCGGGAAACUAGUAGGACGUUUUGAGGAGGCAGACACUGGAGCUGAUGGAAACGCGAUUGGCAAGUUCUUGAGGAUCAAAGUGCGGAUGAGGAUUGAUAAACCUAUUAUGCGAGGGUUUACGCUGUGCGAGGAGUCGGAGGGGGAUGAAGUGCAGGAUAAACGGAUGGUUGCAGCGGGGGAAGAAGAUGAAGGGGAGGAGAAGGGGUGGUGUAGGUUUGAAUACGAAUAUCUCCCAGAAUUUUGCUACACGUGUGGUGUGAUUGGCCAUGGGGAGAAGGAGUGCUCGAUCGAAGGAGGAAAGGGAGGGAAGAAGCAGUUCGGGAGGUGGCUUAAGGCUGAUAUGGGGCAGAGGAGGGGUUUUGCAGAGGAGGGUCUGUGGAGAAGUGCCAAUCGCAACUCGGGGAGAGAUCGGUUUCUUGGGUUCAGAAAGUCAGGAGAUAGGUCAGGGAGUGGCAGCGACAGUUUAUUAUGGCGGAAGAGUGAUUCGCAGUCUGGCGAGGGUGGAAGGGAAGCAAAGGAGAAGGGGGAGGAGGUGACUAGCCCGCUCAAGAAUACCACAGUCCCGCCAAGAGGGGGAGUACCAAAGAAGCUCGUCUUUCAGGAAAGGGGCACAAUCACAGAAACGAGCGAGAGGGUGAAGGGCAGGGGAGACGACGAAAAGGAGGAGGCCGUUCAUGGUAUGGUGGGAGGGGGGAAAGCGCCUGCCUUAGGGGAAGGAGGUGUAAGCAAGAACCCAGAAGGAAAGAGAUACAGAAAGAAAGGCAGGGACAAGGUUAGGCCGGAAGGUAUUGUUGCUAUGGAGGCGGUGGUAGGCCAGAAGAGAGGAGGGGCAGAUGAAGACCAGGAGAUGGUGAGGAAGAAGGGAAGAGUGGAGGGAGAGGAGGAUAAGGGGGAAGAAAACCAGGAAGUUCAGAAGGAGGGAGCUCAAGACUUAUUAUCGGCCGGGUUGCAAGGGCAACCCCGCCGGGAGCAAUGAAAAUCGUUGGAUGGAACUGCCGGGGGCUCGGGAAUGGCCCGGCAGUUCGUAGUCUCCUCGAUCUGGGGAGGGAGGAGGAUCCUGACAUAGUGUUUCUGGCGGAGACAAAGCUGACAGAGAAGGAACUGGAGAGAUUUAGGUGGACCUUGGGGCUGGCUCACUUAAUAGUAUCAAGCUCCGAGGGGAGAAGUAGAGGAGUGGCUCUGUUUUGGAGACGGGGUGUUGAUCUGACGCUGCGAUCGUUCGGAAGGAGGCACAUUGAUGCAGAUGUGGAGGAGAACGGAAGGGUGUGGCACCUGACGGGGGUUUAUGGGGAGUCAGAGGCGGAGAGGAAAGUGGAGACGUGGAGGGUGAUGAAACUACUUGCUCAACAGCAUCAAGCAGGAAGGCCGUGGCUGUGUAUGGGUGACUUUAAUGAAAUCCUAUCAACGGAUGAAAAAUCGGUGGCGCUGUCAGGCCACAGCGACACAUGGAUAGAUUUAGAGAAGCGUUGGAGGCCUGUGAGCUGUGUGACAUUGGUUAUGAGGGGGACAAAUACACGUGGAGGAACCAUAGCAAGAAGAUCAAGUCUUACAUCUGCGAGAGGUUGGACAGGGCUACGGCUAACGCCUCAUGGUGCGAAUGGUUUCCUGAGUUCACAGUUAUAAAUGGAGCUCCACGGCAUUCUGAUCACCGACCGGUCAUAGUUAAUACCCAGGGAGGAGGGAGGAGACUGGAGGGGGGGUGACCGGGGCUUCCGUUUUCAGGCCUGGUGGCUGAAGGAGGAGGGAUGUAGCGUGGAGGUGCAAGGUGCGUGGGAGCAAGGCUGUCGGGAGGGUAGUGGAGAUGUGGCGUCGGCGAUGCGAUGCAUGGCUGGGAGGAUGAGAAGGUGGGGAAAGGAAGUCGCGGGGGAGUUGGAGACCCGCCUAAAGCAAGCACGGCAAAGCCUGGAGAGAUGCAUGAGGGCUCCGGUGUCCGAGGAGAAAAUAAGAGAAGAGGCGAGGCUGAGGUGUGUUGUGGAGGAUUUGGAGGAUAAGAAUAACACCAAAGCUAGACAGUUAUCACAUGUGUCGUGGCUAAGGGACGGCAACAAGUGCACCCGUUAUUUCAUGGCAGUGGCGUCGGCGAAGAAGAAAGCAAACAUAAUUAAAAUGUUAAGGAGGGAGGAUGGAACGGAAGUGAAGGAAGGAGAAGGGCUAAAUAACUAUGUUUUCUCUUAUUUUCGGGAACUGUUUACGUCCACUAAUGCACAUCGCAUGGACGAGCUCCUGUCAAAAGGUGCAACUGCGGGUGACAGAAGCUAUGAAAGCCGUCCUUGAAGCGGACGUAACCAGAGAGGAGGUUAAAGCAGCGCUUGACCACAUUGGAGACCUUAAGGCUCCGGGGCCUGAUGGCAUGUCGUCGAUUGUUUACAAGAAACAUUGGCACUUCAUGGGUGACAAGGUGGUUGACGAAGUGAUCUCGGUCCUGAAGGGAGGCCCUAUGCUGGAGGGGUGGAACGAUACUGUCGUCGUGCUCAUCCCAAAAGUGAAAGAUCCAAGGAGAAUUAAGGACCUAAGACCCAUCAGUCUUUGCAAUGUAGUGUACAAGUUAUGCUCAAAGGUGAUUGCCAAUAGACUGAAGCUUGUGCUCCCGGAGAUUAUAUCGGAUAACCAGAGUGCGUUCGUUCCGGGGCGUCUUAUCACCGACAAUGUACUCAUUGCAUAUGAACUAUCGCACACCCUUUUGAACAAGAGAAGAGGGGGCAAAGGCAUUGCGGCGGUGAAGGCGGACAUGAGUAAGGCUUAUGACAGAGUUGAAUGGGACUUUCUGCGCGCUAUGCUUCUCAGAUUGGGGUUUGGGACCAGAUGGGUCGAUCUUGUGAUGAACUGUGUUUCUAGUGUGCGCUAUCAAAUAAAGAUCAAUGGUGAGCUUACUGAACAGUUCUCUCCUACGCGUGGAUUACGUCAGGGUGACCCUUCGUCACCAUAUCUCUUUGUCAUUUGCGCGGAGGGGUUAUCGGCUUUGCUACAUGAUGCGGAAGCGAACAGAUGUAUUGUGGGUGUGAGGAUUUGCCCGACCGCACUUGUUGUUUCUCACCUGUUAUUUGCGGAUGAUUCGGUCUUGCUGCUCAAGGCGAAGAGGGAGGAUGCAGAGGCGCUGAGAGACAUUCUGGACCUCUAUGAAAGCUGCUCUGGUCAAUGUAUAAAUCUGGAGAAGUACGCGAUCAUGUUCAGUCCUAAUGCUAGUGCUGCAGCAAAGGCUGCAGUCAAGGAUGCUUUGCAAAUUCAGAGUGAAACAUGGAACGAGAAAUAUCUUGGGCUGCCUGUUCAUGUUGGGAAAUCGAGGAGGAAGGCUUUUGCGUUUGUUAAGAACGCUAUCUCGGGGAGGAUCUACGGUUGGAAAGAGAGAUUGAUAGCAAAAACUGGGAAGGAAACGCUAGUCACUGCGGUGGCCCAAGCUAUACCCACGUUCGCUAUGUCCUGUUUUUACCUGACGAAGACCUUCUGUGAGGAGCUUAGUUCAUUGAUUGGAAACUAUUGGUGGAGUCAGCAAGAUAAAGAGCACACAACCCAUUGGAUAGGUUGGGACAAACUGAGGAUGCCAAAGGCGAAAGGAGGACUCGGGUUCAGGGUUAUGCAUGCCUUCAAUGUCGCCAUGUUAUCACGCCAGGCUUGGAGGCUCAUACAAAACCCAGACUCAUUGUGUGCGCAGAUUCUGAGAGCUCGAUAUUAUCCAGAUGGGCAGCUGUUAGAAGCACAGCCAGCUGCGGGUAUCUCUUAUGCUUGGCGUAGCUUGUUGCAUGCCGUCCAACUUGUCAGAGAAGGAGUCAUAUGGAGGAUAGGAGAUGGUACAAGUGUUAAUAUAUGGACCGAUCCGUGGAUCCCUCGACCCUGGUCGAGGACAGUGAUCACACCUCGUGGUCAUUGCCUUCUACAGCAUGUUAGUGAGCUCAUUGAUCCAGUCUCGGGUGGUUGGGACGAGCAACUAGUGAGAGACACCUUCUGGCAUGAUGAUGUAGCAUAUAUACUCCGCAUCUCGCUUAGAGAGGGAGUGCAAGACUUCAUGGCCUGGCAUUACGAUAACAAGGGGCUACACUCGGUCAAGAGUGCCUACAAAUUAUAUGUCCAGUUGGAGAAAACCAGGAGAGAUGGAGGAGCUGGGGCGAGUUCAAUAACCCCGGGAAAUCUGAAUCGUGUUGGUGAUGAUUCCUGGAAACGUAUAUGGAAGUUACCAUGCCCAAGAAAUGUUCAGAUGUUCAUGUGGAGGAUCAAACACGAGUCUCUCGCGCUUCGUACCACGGUUGCUAGGAGAGGUAUCCCGAUAGAGGACACCAAGUGCCUGUUCUGCAGCCGGGGAGAUGAGGAUGGAGCGCACCUAUUUAUAAAGUGUAAGGUGGUGAAGGAGGUGUGGAGGGAUUUCGGCCUGGAAAAGGAACGCAACGAGCUGGAGAAGACUGAGGGCGUGCAUGCAAUGCUGGAGUAUAUUUGGGGGCUAGAUGAGAAAAAGAGGCUACACAUCCUCACUUUUUGGUGGCAGUGGUGGGCAAAUAGGAACAAAGCACGCGAAGGGGAGCUACCGAUCUCACCGGCGGAUCUGGCGCGCAGGACGAGGAGUAGCAUCCUGGAGUUCGCAGAUAUCUUCUGUAAGAAAGCAGAGAAGCUGCCCCCUGACAAGUGGCGUCCAUCGGCUCCUGACACUUACAAGAUCAAUGUGGACGGCUCGUUUGUGGCGGGCGAGGAGCAUGUUGGCUGGGGUUUAGCAGUGAGGACGGAGGCGGGCACUCUGGUGCAUGCACGGGCCGGACGACAGGAGCAUGCAGCGGAGGCGUUCGAAGCGGAGGUGAUUGCCAUGGCCAAAGCGAUUUCGACGGCGGCUGAGCUCGGUAUGGUCAGAGUUGAAUUUGAGACGGACUCCCAGCUACUGUCUGAUGCCUUGGACAUGAGGAGGGCAGACUCGACGGCGUACGCAGCUGUUAUAGAGGACAUGAAAUAUCAGCUGAAGCUUUGGUUUUCUUUCUUUUCCAUUUCAGUUUGUAGGCGCAGUGCGAACUCGGUAGCCCAUGAGCUUGCCAACAUUGGGCGCUUGUGCGAACCAAACCACUAUUUAGAGUGGGAGUCUGAUGUACCAGCCCGGGCGGGCUAGUGUGUUGUGGGCGAUAUGCCUCAUCACAGUUAAGUAAUGAAGCCUUGCUUUGCUUUCAAAAAAAAAAGAUCAGGGGCUGGGCAUGGACACCUCCGGCCACGAUAUAAAGUUGAUGCUGGUCAGAGCCAAACUAGAUGAGAUCCACCACUCGCCUCACCACGAUCAGGGGCAAUUACUACAUCUCUAAUACUGGUUGGAAGCUGUGAGUUUUAGAUUUAUUAAAUCUGAUGGUCUGUUGGUCCCUGUUGUGAUUUGAGGAGAAGGUUGUGGUACGGGCGUUGCACAGGCAGUAGGCACAAACGGGAGAUGCUGAAUGUGGCAUUUUACUGGCACUGAUUUUUUUUUCUAGAUGAUGACGGGCAUGUACAGGCAGUGGGCACAAAAUGUGAUUCGAUCUGUUAUAGAGUGUACUUCAUAUGAACAUGAGUCGUUAGCUAUCUGAAAAACAAAUAAAAAAGUGUGCACUCAUUUAUAUGUUUAGUUACAUAAGAUAAAUCGAGAUCCCUCUGCCCCAUUCUUCGUCAGGGCUUUGUUUUCCCUUUCCGUAUUACAUUUCAGAUGUGACUUUUGCCAUGUUGCUACCCUUCUUAUGCUGUUAUUUAUUGUACUUUUUGGUCGAUUUUCUAUAUCAUUACUGACAUUGAUAGACAACGAUGGAACGACCAUGAUCACUCUACCUUGUUGCUUCAUCUUGCAGUACAAUGAUAAUAUGCCAAAUUAUUAGCAUUAUGAUUUGGAAUAAAGAAUUUCUAGGCGUCAUUUUUUUCUUCUUACAUUAGUAUUUUGAAUAAACACCCCCUUGACUUGUAAGAUAUUUAGAUGAAUGGAUGUUAAAGUAGUAUGGUCCUUUCAUUUCUAGAGUUAUCGUUUCCUUGCAUUAUUUUUUUAGAAUAAAUAGCUCUUACAUUUUAUUGGGUUUCUUGCCAAAUGGAUCCUCCAAAAGUAUAUGCUUGUGUUAUUCGGAACCUCUAUAGUGGUUUGUCAAGAGCAUAGGGCAUUGCUGCAUCUUAUCUGUCUGUCUACAAAUUUAUCCCAAUAUUACCCUUCUGGUGCAUCUUUAAUUUAGUUCAGUUUAGUCCUCACAUAUGUUCAUCUUCAUGUUCAUCAGAUUGAUGAGAGACUGAUGUUGCUGUGAUGAUAAGUGCCGGUGAUUUCUGUACUUUGCACUGAACCAACUGAAGCUAACAUUGAUUCUUGGUAAGAAUAAUGUGCGCUCAACUUUGCAUAGUUUUUAUAUAGUUAAGUUUGUAAUGUAUAUGACCAAAUGCGGCCACAUGGCUCACCAAAUAGUAUUAUAUUUGCAGUGUCUUGGAUUGUUAUUUAUACAAAAUUUUCAUUUGUAUUGAUCAGAACAGAAAGUAUGUAGUACUUCCACUAAUCUUUUUUCCUAUACAAAUACAGGGUGCAAGAAUUGGGAGUAUCUAAAGCACCAACGGUUGAAGGAGCUCAUCCGCCCACCGAGAGCAUUGCAGCUUUCCACAUGCCAUUGAUUACUCCAUCUGCUUUAGUUGCAUCAGAUACUCCAUCCUUUAAUUGUUCUUUAAUUGCAUUGCUGAUGUCACUUGCAUAUAUGUAACUAAGUGAAAAUAGGGCUUUGUAAGGACGUCACACUAUUAUUAGUUUGACAUAGUGUGACAUGUUUCACUGAGAAGCUUUGUCAAGAUUAGUAUAGUGAUUACUUUCAUGGAAUACCAUUUGUUUUCACUUUCCUUGUAGGAUCACCUAUUGGCACCUUCAUGGUCAUGAAAUGCUUAUGUUGUAGAUUUUCAUCCAAUUU